AACGCACAUUGCGCCCCUUGGUAUUCCGAGGGGCAUGCCUGUUCGAGCGUCAUAUAACCAAUCAAGCCUGGCUUGGUAUUAGGGUACGCCUUCUGGCGGCCUCUAAACACAGUGGCGGUGCCGUUCGGCUCUCGGCGUAGUAAUUAUUCUCGCUACAGGGUCUCGCGGUUGCUUGCCAUAACCCCAGCUCUUAAGGUUGACCUCGGAUCAGGUAGGGAUACCCGCUGAACUUAA
This 234-nucleotide unclassified non-coding RNA is filed under the name uncultured fungus. Its description in RNAcentral is "partial contains 5.8S ribosomal RNA, internal transcribed spacer 2, and large subunit ribosomal RNA". The stretch from base 1 to 52 matches the Rfam family "5.8S ribosomal RNA", at positions 103 to 154 of the family's 154-position model. The record is from RNAcentral. Lineage: Eukaryota; Fungi.